RNAcentral lists this small RNA (77 nucleotides) under Escherichia coli O145:NM str. 08-4270. RNAcentral describes it as "isrK". It matches the Rfam family "isrK Hfq binding RNA". RNAcentral also lists the same sequence under 1 other name. Lineage: Bacteria; Pseudomonadati; Pseudomonadota; Gammaproteobacteria; Enterobacterales; Enterobacteriaceae. The record is from RNAcentral.
GCACCUCAUAAAACGGGUGCCGGGAUUCUCACCCCGCUGGAGAUAAAGGCGAUACACGACGCGCCAGCGUCUUUUUU